RNAcentral lists this ribosomal RNA (433 nucleotides) under uncultured bacterium. RNAcentral describes it as "partial 16S ribosomal RNA". It matches the Rfam family "Bacterial small subunit ribosomal RNA", at positions 29 to 507 of the family's 1533-position model. The record is from RNAcentral.
AACGAACGCUGGCGGCAGGCCUAACACAUGCAAGUCGAGCGAGGACUUCGGUUCUAGCGGCGGACGGGUGAGUAACGCGUGGGAAUGUGCCCUUCUCUACGGCAUAGCCCUGGGAAACUGGGAGUAAUACCGUAUACGCCCUAUUGGGGAAAGAUUUAUCGGAGAAGGAUCAGCCCGCGUUGGAUUAGGUAGUUGGUGGGGUAAUGGCCUACCAAGCCGACGAUCCAUAGCUGGUUUGAGAGGAUGAUCAGCCACACUGGGACUGAGACACGGCCCAGACUCCUACGGGAGGCAGCAGUGGGGAAUCUUAGACAAUGGGGGCAACCCUGAUCGAGCCAUGCCGCGUGAGUGAUGAAGGCCUUAGGGUUGUAAAGCUCUUUCAGCUGGGAAGAUAAUGACGGUACCAGCAGAAGAAGCCCCGGCUAACUCCGUG